Molecule: long non-coding RNA, 1548 nt
Filed under: Triticum aestivum (bread wheat)
Lineage: Eukaryota; Viridiplantae; Streptophyta; Magnoliopsida; Poales; Poaceae
Description: long non-coding RNA (TAES_LNC005336)
Rfam family: MIR1120/MIR1122 microRNA precursor family (bases 1015-1101)
Source: RNAcentral
ACACUAAUAAAAACUUAAUUCAUUAAAAUCCGACAGCGUUAAUCACCUCAGACAGAAUAAGCAAACAAACCCCUCAAAAAAAACCUAAAAAAAGAAUAAGCAAACAAACACUACUCUGUAGAAAGCAAAUAACAGAUCUAUGAACACUCCAGCAAAUAACAUGCGUAACUUUGCCAAUUCAGAUCAACAGAACACUGCAGCGCAACAACCACAUUAAGACUACCUCAAAAGAUGAUCAACCUCACACCGCAAGCACACAAGCGAGGCGUCCGAUUUUUGCUCCUGAUGGUACCAUGGGAAAUUUGGAAGGAGAGGAACAACUGUGUGUUCAGGACGAAGACACCGUAGCGAAGAUAUCAUCCGUGCUGUCCGCACAAACAUUGAGCAAUGGAGACUAGCUGGAGCAACCUGUUUAGAGCCCCCGUUUGGGGACCCGAUCAUGAGAUGGUGGCCUUGCACCCUUUAGUCUUUCCUGUUCUUCCUUCUCUAUGUAACACCACCAUUGAUCACUUGAUCAUCAUGUUUCCCACUGCUUUCUUCUAAAUCAAUGAAGCCGGAGGACCCGGAUAUUUCAAAAAAAAAACAUUAAGACUACCUCAGGUAACUUAAUAUAAGACGUUUCUUGACACCAUGACUGUGUUAAAAAAAGUCUUACAUUUUGAUAGAGGGCUACGACCAAAAAGUUAUAUACAACUGUACACGCAUCACAAAAUAAAGUAGUCACUUGUAUAUGACCACACUGAGAAGUCAUCAUUCCAUUGUCAUCGAGGAGUUGGCAAUUGUAUCAUAGAUUGUUCGUGUCAACAGCGUCAGGUCUAGCUGAAACAUUUUCCCCUUGUAAUGGUUCUAAUCCCAGUGACUAUCUCCAAGAUCUUUUUAACCUUUCUGGUUCAACAAGCCCAAUGGCCGAUUAUGAUUAUCUACCUCUUUUUUCCAUAUAUCUCACAAAAAGAAAAACAUUUGUGGAAUGUUCAUCCCCAAAUUGCCCUUUACAUCUCUUCCACAGUAAAAGAACUACUCCCUCUAUAAAGAGAUAUAAGAAUGUUUAGAUCACUAUAGAAGUGAUCUAAACGCUCUUAUAUUUCUUUACGGAGGGAGUAGCAUAUAAGAAUAAAGUGACAAACUCAUGAAAGUACCGCUACCAUGCAUUUGUACAUGUCAACAUACACACAAACAUCAAAUUCGCUGGAUUUGGUUGAGCUUUUGGCUUAAAAGACCCUAAGGCCCAAUCAAACACAACCUAAGCUGUUCCUAAGCUUUGGGUUUGGAACGGCUUCUGGUUUAUCUGGACCAUAAGCUGAGGUAGAAGCCAUCUCAAACCAAGUCAUAAGGUGCUCUGAGCCAUGUUUGGAUAUGCCCUAUUUACUAGAUAUGCUACUACAGUUGUAGCUUAUUUAGUUCUAUGACAUGUCUCACUGGAAAUCCCAAUCGAACUGGACCAUCUUGUGAACAAAAUGGCAGUUAUUAUACACAAAAGAAGAAUCUCCGGAAUGUGAGAAUAAGAGCGGCGAAGCGUGCAAGACCACCUUCAACUAUUAUAGUGAUGAG